RNAcentral lists this ribosomal RNA (291 nucleotides) under Triticum aestivum (bread wheat). RNAcentral describes it as "partial small subunit ribosomal RNA". Lineage: Eukaryota; Viridiplantae; Streptophyta; Magnoliopsida; Poales; Poaceae. The record is from RNAcentral.
GCCCCUUGCUCGGACAGGGUCACGGCACUGGAGAAGACUGUGAGAGAGUUUGCGGAGACUCCAGGGGACAUAGUGAUCGUCCCAAAGAUUGGGACAAGUUUCGACAGUCUAGGUGAAGCUUACGACUUUUACAACCUGUACUCAUGGGAAAAAGGAUUCGGGAUUAGAUAUGGGAAAAGCAGAUUAAAUGUGAACCGGACAAAGUGCAUGCAAGAGAUCGUAUGUGGAUGCACGGUACAGCCAAUACUUCAGCAUAUUUUGAUAAACAUGGCCUUUUUCCAUGCAUUCUAA